This is a non-coding RNA of Podospora bellae-mahoneyi, 93 nucleotides long. The record is from the annotation of a RefSeq genome assembly. Lineage: Eukaryota; Fungi; Ascomycota; Sordariomycetes; Sordariales; Podosporaceae.
GCCCGAUUAGCUCAGCUGGUUAGAGCGUCGUACUAAUACUAGCAAUAGUAUCAAGUCAUGCGAAGGUCAACAGUUCAAUCCUGUUAUUGGGCA